This 216-nucleotide ribosomal RNA is filed under the name Glomeromycotina sp. RNAcentral describes it as "partial small subunit ribosomal RNA". The stretch from base 75 to 216 matches the Rfam family "Eukaryotic small subunit ribosomal RNA", at positions 721 to 864 of the family's 1831-position model. Lineage: Eukaryota; Fungi; Glomeromycota. The record is from RNAcentral.
GGGUCAGUAGGUUGGUCGUGCCACCGGUACGUACUGGUCUCACUGACUCCUCCUUCCUGAAGAACCGUAAUGCCAUUAAUUUGGUGUUGCGGGGAAACAGGACUGUUACUUUGAAAAAAUUAGAGUGUUUAAAGCAAGCUGACGCUUGAAUACAUUAGCAUGGAAUAAUGAAAUAGGACGAUCGAUCCUAUUUUGUUGGUUUCUAGGAUUGACGUA